Molecule: non-coding RNA, 81 nt
Organism: Myotis brandtii (Brandt's bat)
Lineage: Eukaryota; Metazoa; Chordata; Mammalia; Chiroptera; Vespertilionidae
Source: Rfam
GGCGGUUCUCGGGUGAUGGACCCCAGAAUCGGAAUCGGGCUCCCUCCUCUCUGGUUGGGGGUGCGUCACCCGAGAACUGCU